GCCUACGGGGCGCAGCCGUGAGGAAUAUUGGUCAAUGGGAGAGACCCUGAACCAGCCAAGCCGCGUGAGGGAAGACGGCCCUAUGGGUUGUAAACCUCUUUUGUCGGAGAACAAAACCCGGGACGUGCCCCGGACUGCGUGUAUCCGAAGAAAAAGCAUCGGCUAACUCGGUGCCAGCAGCCGCGGUAAUACGGAGGAUGCGAGCGUUAUCCGGAUUAAUUGGGUUUAAAGGGUGCGAAGGCGGUCCGUUCAGUCAGCGGUAAAGUUGCGGGGGU
This 275-nucleotide ribosomal RNA is filed under the name uncultured bacterium. RNAcentral's name for it is "partial 16S ribosomal RNA". It matches the Rfam family "Bacterial small subunit ribosomal RNA", at positions 337 to 609 of the family's 1533-position model. The record is from RNAcentral.